RNAcentral lists this ribosomal RNA (500 nucleotides) under uncultured bacterium. Its description in RNAcentral is "partial 16S ribosomal RNA". It matches the Rfam family "Bacterial small subunit ribosomal RNA", at positions 30 to 523 of the family's 1533-position model. The record is from RNAcentral.
AUUGAACGCUGGCGGCAUGCCUUACACAUGCAAGUCGAACGGGCUUUUGGGGCUUGCUCCAAAAGUUAGUGGCGAACGGGUGAGUAAUAUAUCGGAACGUGCCCUGGAGUGGGGGACAACCAGUCGAAAGAUUGGCUAAUACCGCAUACGAUCCAAGGAUGAAAGUGGGGGACCUUCGGGCCUCAUGCUCCUGGAGCGGCCGAUAUCUGAUUAGCUAGUUGGUGGGGUAAAGGCCCACCAAGGCGACGAUCAGUAGCUGGUCUGAGAGGACGAUCAGCCACACUGGGACUGAGACACGGCCCAGACUCCUACGGGAGGCAGCAGUGGGGAAUUUUGGACAAUGGGGGAAACCCUGAUCCAGCAAUGCCGCGUGAGUGAAGAAGGCCUUCGGGUUGUAAAGCUCUUUUGUCAGGGAAGAAACGGUGGGGACUAAUAUCCUCUGCUAAUGACGGUACCUGAAGAAUAAGCACCGGCUAACUACGUGCCAGCAGCCGCCGUAA